This 433-nucleotide ribosomal RNA is filed under the name uncultured bacterium. Its description in RNAcentral is "partial 16S ribosomal RNA". It matches the Rfam family "Bacterial small subunit ribosomal RNA", at positions 29 to 507 of the family's 1533-position model. The record is from RNAcentral.
AACGAACGCUGGCGGCAUGCCUAACACAUGCAAGUCGAACGAGACCUUCGGGUCGAGUGGCGCACGGGUGCGUAACGCGUGGGAACCUGCCCUUAGGUUCGGAAUAACUCCCCGAAAGGGGUGCUAAUACCGGAUAAUGUCUUCGGACCAACGAUUUAUCGCCUUUGGAUGGGCCCGCGUUGGAUUAGCUAGUUGGUAGGGUAAAAGCCUACCAAGGCGACGAUCCAUAGCUGGUCUGAGAGGAGGAUCAGCCACACUGGGACUGAGACACGGCCCAGACUCCUACGGGAGGCAGCAGUGGGGAAUAUUGGACAAUGGGCGAAAGCCUGAUCCAGCAAGGCCGCGUGAGUGAUGAAGGCCUUAGGGUUGUAAAGCUCUUUUACCCGGGAUGAUAAUGACAGUACCGGGAGAAUAAGCUCCGGCUAACUCCGUG